UGCAUGAAGCUGGAAUCGCUAGUAAUCGCGGAUCAGAAUGCCGCGGUGAAUACGUUCCCGGGUCUUGUACACACCGCCCGUCACACCAUGGGAGUCGGUAACGCCCGAAGUCAGUGACCCAACCGAAAGGAGGGAGCUGCCGAAGGCGGGACUGGUAACUGGGGUGAAGUCGUAACAAGGUAUC
Molecule: ribosomal RNA, 184 nt
Filed under: uncultured bacterium
Lineage: Bacteria
Description: partial 16S ribosomal RNA
Rfam family: Bacterial small subunit ribosomal RNA
Source: RNAcentral